CAGCACCUCAAGUGGUCAGGAUGAUUAUUGGGCCUAAAGCAUCCGUAGCCGGCGCUGUAAGUUUUCGGUUAAAUCUGUACGCUCAACGUACAGGCUGCCGGGAAUACUGCAGAGCUAGGGAGUGGGAGAGGUAGACGGUACUCGGUAGGAAGGGGUAAAAUCCUUUGAUCUAUUGAUGACCACCCGUGGCGAAGGCGGUCUACCAGAACACGUCCGACGGUGAGGGAUGAAAGCUGGGGGAGCAAACCGGAUUAGAUACCCGAGUAGUCC
Molecule: ribosomal RNA, 270 nt
Filed under: uncultured archaeon
Lineage: Archaea
Description: partial 16S ribosomal RNA
Rfam family: Archaeal small subunit ribosomal RNA
Source: RNAcentral